UACAGAGACCUCAAGCGUUAUCCGGAAUCAUUGGGCGUAAAGCGUGCCGAUAGGUGAUUUUAUUAGUCUUGGGUAAAAGCCAGAAGCUCAACUUCUGAGUUUGCUUAAGAUACUGUAAAACUAGAGGGGCAAAGAGGUGCUUGGAACGAAUGGUGUAGUAGUGAAAUGCGUUGAUAUCAUUCGGAACACCGAAAGCGAAGGCAGAGCACUGGGUGCAACCUGACACUGCUAGGACGAAAGCGUGGGGAGCGAAUGGG
RNAcentral lists this ribosomal RNA (257 nucleotides) under uncultured bacterium. RNAcentral's name for it is "partial 16S ribosomal RNA". It matches the Rfam family "Bacterial small subunit ribosomal RNA", at positions 524 to 776 of the family's 1533-position model. The record is from RNAcentral.